AUACUUACCUGGCAGGGGAGAUACCAUGAUCACGAAGGUGGUUUUCCCAGGGCGAGGCUUAUCCAUUGCACUCCGGAUGUGCUGACCCCUGCGAUUUCCCCAAAUGUGGGAAACUCGACUGCAUAAUUAAAAAAAAAAAAAUAGUAUAAUGAAUCUCUUUUCC
Small nuclear RNA from Lutra lutra (Eurasian river otter), 163 nucleotides. RefSeq annotates it as U1 spliceosomal RNA. The record is from RefSeq and is a predicted model, not a curated record. The transcript has a single exon. NCBI's taxonomy places the organism in Eukaryota, Metazoa, Chordata, Mammalia, Carnivora, Mustelidae.